GACGAACGCUGGCGGCGUGCCUAAUACAUGCAAGUAGGACGCAGUUGCGAACGGGUGAGUAACGCGUAGGUAACUGCCUAUUAGAGGGGGAUAACUAUUGGAAACGAUAGCUAAUACCGCAUACUAGUAGAUGGACCUGCGUUGUAUUAGCUAGUAGGUAGGGUAAUGGCCUACCUAGGCGACGAUACAUAGCCGAACGGGGAGGGUGAACGGCGGCAUUGGGAAAUGGACCCGGCCCAGGAACCUACUGGAGGCAGCAAUUGGGAAUAUGCGGAAAUGGGGGGAACCCUGGACGAGACACGGCGCGUGGGUCAAGAAGGUUUUCGGGUCGUAAAGAUCUUUUGUUGAGGAAGCGGUACUUAACCAGAAAGGGACGGCUAACUACGUGCCAGCAGCCGCGGUAAUAC
RNAcentral lists this ribosomal RNA (407 nucleotides) under uncultured bacterium. Its description in RNAcentral is "partial 16S ribosomal RNA". It matches the Rfam family "Bacterial small subunit ribosomal RNA", at positions 28 to 526 of the family's 1533-position model. The record is from RNAcentral.